RNAcentral lists this long non-coding RNA (269 nucleotides) under Homo sapiens (human). RNAcentral describes it as "non-protein coding lnc-RAB3GAP2-10:1". Lineage: Eukaryota; Metazoa; Chordata; Mammalia; Primates; Hominidae. The record is from RNAcentral.
GACUGUUAGUCGGCUCGCCCGUUAGGCAGUACUCUGGAGUUUUUCCGUACCUGGAAACGUGUCUUGGAACUGAUGCUGAACUGAAUUUCUUGGGUUCGAGUUUAAGGGACUCAGGAUUGCAGAAGCCUCGUUAAUGGGAUCUAGAGAUGCGAAGAACUGGCCGGCCGAGGGCUGCAGGCCUGAGAGGUGCACCCCGGCGGGCCGCCCACCGGUUAGCAGGGAAGUGAGAUCUGGGGACAAGGGAAAAGGAUAGCAGGUUACAUCUCGGG